Molecule: long non-coding RNA, 553 nt
Filed under: Rhipicephalus sanguineus (brown dog tick)
Lineage: Eukaryota; Metazoa; Arthropoda; Arachnida; Ixodida; Ixodidae
Description: uncharacterized LOC119385900
Source: RNAcentral
UGUGCGUCGUAGUGCCGAGUUUUGUUCAAGCGGUGGAUUUUUACUGCGUUGCCUCGCGUUGUGUGUUGUGUGUUGCGGUUACUGACGUAAGCGCAAGUUCUUCACUGAGUGUGAUCCGCGGCACCGUGCAAAUAGUCACCAGAUGCCGGCCGUGCGACUCCGUUCUCUGCGACUCCUUUGUUCGGUGUGAUCGAAGUACGUACGUGAUUCAUAGCUUUGGAGACCCUCUUUACACCGUGCCCUCUUCAAAUGUUUCCGCACAUCACCGAGUAGCAGCGCCGCAGUCCUUACUCGACGACACGCUCUGUGGGUCUGGAAAAUGCCUUGACGCUCGAGCACUUCGGGAGCUAUACCGGCGGACAGCCGGACGCGGGUAUCUUGGUCGUUCCUUGCUCUGCGCAUCGCUUGAAAACCGGCGGUCAUACUCCAGUGUACGCUGCCAGCGUGCUUUAUUGCCAGAGCCGCCUCCCCUUCUGGUGAUGACCAUAUGCAGCCAAUGCUGAUGUGAACCUGAGUGAUGAACAAAUGCAGAUCUGCAAAGGAGCUGUCCUGA